AACGCUGGCGGCGUGCCUAAUACAUGCAAGUCGAGCGAACAGAUAAGGAGCUUGCUCCUUUGACGUUAGCGGCGGACGGGUGAGUAACACGUGGAUAACCUACCUAUAAGACUGGGAUAACUUCGGGAAACCGGAGCUAAUACCGGAUAACAUAUUGAACCGCAUGGUUCAAUAGUGAAAGGCGGCUUUGCUGUCACUUAUAGAUGGAUCCGCGCCGUAUUAGCUAGUUGGUAAGGUAACGGCUUACCAAGGCAACGAUACGUAGCCGACCUGAGAGGGUGAUCGGCCACACUGGAACUGAGACACGGUCCAGACUCCUACGGGAGGCAGCAGUAGGGAAUCUUCCGCAAUGGGCGAAAGCCUGACGGAGCAACGCCGCGUGAGUGAUGAAGGUCUUCGGAUCGUAAAACUCUGUUAUCAGGGAAGAACAAAUGUGUAAGUAACUGUGCACAUCUUGACGGUACCUGAUCAGAAAGCCACGGCUAACUACGUGCCAGCAGCCGCGGUAAUACGUAGGUGGCAAGCGUUAUCCGGAAUUAUUGGGCGUAAAGCGCGCGUAGGCGGUUUUUUAAGUCUGAUGUGAAAGCCCACGGCUCAACCGUGGAGGGUCAUUGGAAACUGGAAAACUUGAGUGCAGAAGAGGAAAGUGGAAUUCCAUGUGUAGCGGUGAAAUGCGCAGAGAUAUGGAGGAACACCAGUGGCGAAGGCGACUUUCUGGUCUGUAACUGACGCUGAUGUGCGAAAGCGUGGGGAUCAAACAGGAUUAGAUACCCUGGUAGUCCACGCCGUAAACGAUGAGUGCUAAGUGUUAGGGGGUUUCCGCCCCUUAGUGCUGCAGCUAACGC
Molecule: ribosomal RNA, 845 nt
Filed under: Staphylococcus sp. M_Sw_oHS_12/10_9_3(1)
Lineage: Bacteria; Bacillati; Bacillota; Bacilli; Caryophanales; Staphylococcaceae
Description: bacterial SSU rRNA
Rfam family: Bacterial small subunit ribosomal RNA
Source: RNAcentral